CCCUUAGAUGUUCUGGGCUGCACGCGUGCUACAAUGGAACUCGCAUCGAGUCGCGAAACUGAGAGGUUGAGCGAAUCUUGGAAAGUGUUCCGUGACCGGGACAGUUGAUUGCAAUUAUUCAACUCGAACGAGGAAUUCCUUGUAAUCGUGAUUCAUCAUAUCGCGAUGAAUACGUCCCUGCCCUUUGUACACACCGCCCGUCGCUCCUACCGAUUGAAUGAUCCGAUGAAUAUCAUGGAUUGAGGAUGCAAGUAGGUUCGCCUAUCUUCAUCUUCGAGAAGUGAAGUAAAUCUUAUCAUUUAGAGGAAGGAGAAGUCGUAACA
RNAcentral lists this ribosomal RNA (323 nucleotides) under uncultured eukaryote. Its description in RNAcentral is "partial 18S ribosomal RNA". It matches the Rfam family "Eukaryotic small subunit ribosomal RNA", at positions 1470 to 1796 of the family's 1831-position model. The record is from RNAcentral.